Molecule: ribosomal RNA, 455 nt
Filed under: Avibacterium paragallinarum
Lineage: Bacteria; Pseudomonadati; Pseudomonadota; Gammaproteobacteria; Pasteurellales; Pasteurellaceae
Description: bacterial LSU rRNA
Rfam family: Bacterial large subunit ribosomal RNA
Source: RNAcentral
CCCAAGAGUUCAUAUCGACGGCGGUGUUUGGCACCUCGAUGUCGGCUCAUCACAUCCUGGGGCUGAAGUAGGUCCCAAGGGUAUGGCUGUUCGCCAUUUAAAGUGGUACGCGAGCUGGGUUUAGAACGUCGUGAGACAGUUCGGUCCCUAUCUGCCGUGGGCGUUGGAGAAUUGAGAGGGGCUGCUCCUAGUACGAGAGGACCGGAGUGGACGCAUCACUGGUGUACCAGUUGUCUCGCCAGAGGCAUUGCUGGGUAGCUAAAUGCGGAAGAGAUAAGUGCUGAAAGCAUCUAAGCACGAAACUUGCCUUGAGAUGAGUUCUCCCAGUCUAUAAGACUGUAAGGGUUGUUGGAGACUACGACGUAGAUAGGCUGGGUGUGUAAGCGGUGUGAGCCGUUGAGCUAACCAGUACUAAUUGCCCGAGAGGCUUAACUAUACAACGCUCAAGGGUUUUG